RNAcentral lists this ribosomal RNA (497 nucleotides) under uncultured bacterium. RNAcentral's name for it is "partial 16S ribosomal RNA". It matches the Rfam family "Bacterial small subunit ribosomal RNA", at positions 28 to 507 of the family's 1533-position model. The record is from RNAcentral.
GAUGAACGCUGGCGGCGUGCCUAAUACAUGCAAGUCGAGCGAACGGACGAGAAGCUUGCUUCUCUGAUGUUAUCGGCGGACGGGUGAGUAACACGUGGAUAACCUACCUAUAAGACUGGGAUAACUUCGGGAAACCGGAGCUAAUACCGGAUAAUAUUUUGAACCGCAUGGUUCAAAAGUGAAAGACGGUCUUGCUGUCACUUAUAGAUGGAUCCGCGCUGCAUUAGCUAGUUGGUAAGGUAACGGCUUACCAAGGCAACGAUGCAUAGCCGACCUGAGAGGGUGAUCGGCCACACUGGAACUGAGACACGGUCCAGACUCCUACGGGAGGCAGCAGUAGGGAAUCUUCCGCAAUGGGCGAAAGCCUGACGGAGCAACGCCGCGUGAGUGCUGAAGGUCUUCGGAUCGUAAAACUCUGUUAUUAGGGAAGAACAUAUGUGUAAGUACCUGUGCACAUCUUGACGGUACCUAAUCAGAAAGCCACGGCUAACUACGUG